Molecule: long non-coding RNA, 40006 nt
Filed under: Triticum aestivum (bread wheat)
Lineage: Eukaryota; Viridiplantae; Streptophyta; Magnoliopsida; Poales; Poaceae
Description: long non-coding RNA (TAES_LNC015925)
Source: RNAcentral
AUGUUCUUACUAUUGCCCAUUCUUGUCACCAUCUUACUGUAUAUUUCCACUGUGAAGUGACAACUGGAUCGUUGGUGGGAACUAUUAGGUUAUCUUACAGGUGGGUGUAGGAUGAACAGUUUAGAUGGCCAAAAUGGAUGACUGCUUUAGCCUUUAGCUGUUGGAUGCAUUCGCCACCAAUUAUUCAAGUGUCAACCAACCCAGAUGAAUUGGGGACUUGUACCUGCGUGCUUAUCUGAGUGGGUAUAAGUAGACUGCUGUUGUUAGCUAGCAAUGCCUUUCCGAACAAACAAUCCUCAUGUUGUAGGAGGUAAUCCGUUUUCUUUUGGUGCAAACAAGAGAAAUGGCAACAUCCCAUGAUUUGUUUAUUAACUGCUGGUUGCUCUGGAUCACGUUGAUAAAUCAUAUGAGGGUAGAGUAUGCUGUAGGCUCAAUGGUUUUCUGAAGGAGAUUGUUCUAGCAAUAUGGUGUAAGACAGUAAGACUUUGUUCCUGGUGGGUACUGGGUAAGACUGUUGAUGCUGGUUUCAGAUCAAGUCGCUGAGCAAUGAUGUCUAUGCUUUUGUUUGCGUUAUGAACUCCUUGCUUGGCAUGAAGCACUUCGUAUCUUAAACACUCAGAAAGACUUAAGAUUCAAGCGAACUGAAUAUUUUCAUUAUUAAAUCUCCUUCUGUGGUGUCGCAAAAUCAUAAACAGUAUCACUCAAGGGUUUUGUCUCAGAGGAAUAUGUUUUCUGCAACUUUUCUUUGCUUAGUAGGCUACUGGAAAUUUGGUUACAGCUGUUGUUCUCACAUUUUUUUAUGAUUCUUAGCGGAAGAGUUGAUCGUCAUUUUGUGCCAAUUGGCAAGAUUCUAAAGCCACUGCUGAACGAGUGUGUGACACCCGUGACCUGUUACUGGAGCUUGGCGUUGCUUCUGCGUGAUGAGGAGGAGCUCAAGCUAGUUUUCCAGGUAAAAAUUAUGUGUUAUGCAUCUAUCACUUAAUUGGUCCAACAAAAUUUCAGCAAUCCAAUAGAAAUUUACUCGCAGAAAUUUCGCCCACCUGUCAAAAUGUUGGUCCCUAUCUGGAGAGCUCUCUGUGCAUUCACAGACUCUGAAUGCACAAGCCGGCAUUCUGCAGUUUCUAAACCGAAUCGUUCAGAAGCGUGACUGUGCUGGCGAUCUGUUGUGAUUGCGACGUUCGGCAAAGCGGAUGCAGCUGAGCUUAGAUGCCAAACUGAGCUAGAGGUAGGUCUCACUAGUGUGAGGGGCACUAAUUGUUAGGAUGAACGCCUGCAGAUUUUCAGACGUGGGUGUACAGUGUACUGCACUUAACAGCUAUACGGCCGAUAGUUCUCAAAUAGUACAAAAUAUCGUCCAUGUUCUGAAUUGUUCCUUUGGCGACAAUGCAGGCCACCAUGGGAUCUACGCCAUCAACCUUUUGAUUUUGAAAUCUUGACCAGUGGUAUAGUUAAAAGUAUUUGGUUGUCUAUAUGAAAAUGAUUGCCGGAUUGUUUCUUAUUAUAAGCCAUGGUUUUGUUUCCUGAGACUUUUUCGUAAUAAUAUGUUUCUUUUUCUGAUUAGUUUUAUGGCAUUACUAGUCAAAAUCUUGCACUGAGGACAGCUAGAAGUCAAAUCUACAGUUGUGGACAGGGGAGUGCAGUAGUACUACCUUGCCAUUUCAAUGUGGACGCUGCUGUUCUUAUAUAUCGCUAGUAUGGAUCUAUCACUACUAUCAAAUCAAUCGAUGUAUGGGGAGAUGGAAAGGUUUGUUAAAGAAUCAUCUUUGUCUCCUACGUAUGCUACAUAAAUGAGAAGAGUAGCAUGGAAACGAAAUGAAAUGUGCACAGACAAGCAUGUGAGGAGAAGAGAGCCCCAUGCAUCGCAUAUGCAAAGAUCCCAAUGCAGUCAAACAAACACACCUCAUAUGGAGUAGGGAGUAUCAUGUGCGGUGACACCCCUAUUCCUAUGCUUGUUGGACUCAGCCAGGGCUUGUGUUUCGAAGACUUGUACACCUUUGGAAAUCAGAGCAAUUUAGAAAUUACUACUCCCUCCGUUCCGAAUUAUAAGAUGUUUUGAAUAUUUCAGUAUGAACUAUAUACAGACUGAAAUGAGUGGACAAACACACUAUAACGCAUGUCUAUACAUCUAAUUUAGAAGAAAAAAAUAGAACAUCUUAUAAUUCGAACGGAAGGAGUAAUUAGGUAGGAUAUAUUGUUCGUCUUUCUGGAGUAUAAUUUUGCUCGCAUGAAUUUGGAUACUAUAAAAUUUUGCUUGCAUGAACACCCCUGGACACAAAUUAAAGCAAAAUAAUUUCCAGAAAAAGCCUGUUAUUCCAGUACUUUCGCAAGGUCUACUACGUGUAGAAAAGAGGCAAACAAAAUUAAGUUACAUCCAAAGAAGCUCUCAGUCGUUAACGCUAGACUAGUACAACGGCCUCAACCAAAAUAUGGAACAUUCUCGUGCGUGAUGGAGCUGUAGUCCGUGGAGCUCGACGCCGUGGCAUACACCGUGGUUGACGACGACGCGGAAGGCACAGGCCCCGCCCCCGGCGCGGCCAGCCCCAGCGACCCAGCCGGCCGGUGGCCUCCGGCGGCGAGGAGCUGGGAGGCGUGCGAGGACGGGGGCACGUUGGGCACCGCGGACGCCGCGGCGGCAGGGCGGUACCUGUGCUUGAGGAUCUCGGCGCGGACGGCGGCGAGCUCGGCCUCGAGGGCGUGCACCUGCUGCUGCAGGGUGAGGAUGGCGCCCAUGCAGCCGUAGACGGGGUCGCGGAGCCGCAGGUUCGCCUCGUACACCAGGCUGUUGGCCGCGUCGCCGCGCUGGCUCUCGUGUACCUCCUGCAUGCACGCGCACCAAGCUACGCGUUAAGGAGUAUAUCCCUGGAGCACUUCAAUCGGUUCAACUUGUGUGGAUUUCAUUUUCAUACGGAUAGUUCAACUCAACUUGAUUUGGAAGGAUUUGAGCUAACUGAUGAAGUCACGCAUCUCUCUUUAAAUAGAAGUAAAACAGAAAUGAAACAAAAGAUGCACAAACAUUGUACACCAUUUGAGCUAACUUGAUUUGGGGAGACUUCGAUUUGGAUUUUGGAUUUUGGGAGGCAAACACCGUACACUAUUUAUACACUGUUGUUUAGAGAUAACUUUUAGCAUUUUUAUGAAACGAAAGAUGCACAGGCGAGACUCGAAAUUAUACACAAAUCUCUAGUGAUUAGUGAUUAUGCCCCAAACAUAAUGGAAAAGGAGAGGAGAUCCAAGGGAAUUUAGGGUUUUGGAUCUGCAAGAACAGUCACUGCUGCCUUGGCUUGUGAGUUGUGACAGUACCACAAAAGAAAUUCUCUUGUUAAUAAAGUUUUCUAGAAAUACCAUGUCAACUAAUGAAAUGCUGCGAGAUGUGAGGUAUUCACAAUAAUUAUGCUAUAUCUCAUAAACAUCGGCACAAAACCAGUUCAUUUCACGAGCUCAGAAGGGAUAGAAGUAAGCUAUGCUGAAAGUCAAAGGGCAAGCAAAAUGGAGGGAAAUAAGAUUAAAUUAGAUUACCAGAAGCAUCUUGGAGACGUUGCUGGCGCCGAAGACCUUGUGAACGGAGGCGAACUUGUGCGGCUCUAGCGGCGAGAAAAAAGGUGAGAAGGGGCACUCCUGCGCGCACCGCCGCCGGAGCAGCUUACACGCGGCACAUGGGGUCAUCGUGUUGAACGACGGUGUUGAUCCUGGUCCGACGCCUGCUGCAGGCAGGCUGCUACUCCUCCGUGCUGCCGCCAUCAUCCGGUCCGCCUCCGCCGCGGACUCACUCUUGAUCUUCUUCCCUACCUCAUGGUCUUGCUGCCAUUCACUGAAGAAGAAGAUGUAUAUAGCAUGAGAUCACCAAUUCACCAUGGCUAUAGCUAGGGUUCCAACUAAUUCCAUUGCCACACACACCGCCAUGCACCAUGGACACAACAAAGCUUGAGCAGAGGAUUCUAACUAGAGACGGUGCAUGAAUUUAGCUAUUCCUAAAUGAUUUUUUUAUGAUCUACCUUGGUAUUUCGGAAAGUAGUUUUGAGCUUUGAGCAUACCUUGCAGUGGACAUGAAGGCAAGGGAGAGAGCAGGGGGACAAGGGAUGGAAGUGAGGUGCUUUGGAAAAAGUGUCUUCUAGGUUGUGUGUGUCUGCCGUUUAGCUUAUGAGAGAGAGAGAAGAGAGAAGAGAGAGAGAGAGAGAGAUGUUGGGAAAAAAACGUUUGUUUUUUUAUACAAAAAUAAGUUUGCUGCUGUCAUAGAGAUUGUACUGCUAGAUGUAUGUAGGUAUUGCACCAUUUGGAAGGUAUCCUGGUGUAUGUUGACUUGUUGCAAUAGUUAAUAUGGCGGCUAAUUAAUAAGAGGUGUGUGCAUACGGAAUGACGGAAUCUUCUUAGUGUAAAAUAANNNNNNNNNNNNNNNNNNNNNNNNNNNNNNNNNNNNNNNNNNNNNNNNNNNNNNNNNNNNNNNNNNNNNNNNNNNNNNNNNNNNNNNNNNNNNNNNNNNNNNNNNNNNNNNNNNNNNNNNNNNNNNNNNNNNNNNNNNNNNNNNNNNNNNNNNNNNNNNNNNNNNNNNNNNNNNNNNNNNNNNNNNNNNNNNNNNNNNNNNNNNNNNNNNNNNNNNNNNNNNNNNNNNNNNNNNNNNNNNNNNNNNNNNNNNNNNNNNNNNNNNNNNNNNNNNNNNNNNNNNNNNNNNNNNNNNNNNNNNNNNNNNNNNNNNNNNNNNNNNNNNNNNNNNNNNNNNNNNNNNNNNNNNNNNNNNNNNNNNNNNNNNNNNNNNNNNNNNNNNNNNNGGAACUGGGUAUGAGUUUUGAAAAAUGGAUUUUAUAUUGGACACAAUGGGCGCAUAUUAAGUGAAUUUGGUACUAACAAACUUGCAUUACAUAGCUAUUUUUGUGAAUAUUGCAUAGUUAAUUAGCAUCCACUAACUUAAUUAUGCAUCACAAAUUCUCUUUGAGUAAUCCAUUAGUUAUUUGUGGUAAUGUAAUAGUAUGGACUUUGUUGGAAUAUCAUCCAUAUGCUUGGCUACAAACUACUCCCUCCGUCCCAUAAUAUAAGAUGUCAUUAGAGCCGAUAUGUGCAUAUCGGUUGUAAUAACAUCUUAUGUUAUGGGAGGGACGAGUAUAUGUUUGUUCAUAUCUACCCGUUUUUGGAGUAUCUAUAUGGAGCUAUUGGUUUGAAAAAUGCCCAAGAGCUAUUUGCUGCUUGGUCGGUUAGGUACAUAUAUAGUUAAAAAUGCUGGUAGCUAGAUACAACAUUUUAUAAUGUAGAAGCUGUUAAUGUUCCAAGGAACAAGGCCCUAAAUACUCUCCCCAACAUUAGGCACAUUUGUAGGGUCGAAGCGACACCUUGUUGAUUCUCACUGUUUUUAACUCUAAAUCUACAUGUUUUUUUCUUUGCCCACUUGGCAUUAGCUGUAGAAGGCAUAUUGGCAUGCUUCUGGACAUCUAAGAUCCCAUCUAGAAGAAAAAUACUUUACAUCUCCCCAUCAGAGUUGAUUUUAGAUAAAACAAUAUAGCAUAUCAGUAUGUACUUGUCUAUAAACAUUGGUACUAACUUGACAUUAUUAUUUCCAAUGUUGUUCACUAAAAAACCUGCAAAAAAAAUGUUGUUCACUAAAAUAAACAAAGGGGUAUCAGAAUCACAUUGUUUACAAGGGGUCAUAAUGUGUCACCCUUCAGCAAUAAGUUGAUUAGUUUUUCUAGAACAAAAAUAAAACUGUCUCAGAACUAGUACUAAAUCUGCCACCUGAAAAAAAAUGUUUAUGAACAUACUUAAAAAAAGUUUAUGGAUCAUGACUAGUAGUCGCCUAGGAUCAAUGAUUCAUACCAUCUAUAUCAGUGCAUUAAUUAGUGUGUAUUACUAUAAUCAAGUAAUUAUAUGGCUCUCUAUAGUCAAUUUUUUGGGGGGCAAAUGAAACCUCUUUGGAUUGGACGAAUUUUCAUAGGAUUCCGGUCUUCAUGAUUUCCUUACCAUGUGCCCUUUGGAUGGAUACUCAAAUUCAAUGGCGGAGCCAGAAACUGAAUAUAGAGGGGGCCAAACAUGUCAUAUAAUGUUAGAGGGGGCCAAGUCACCUAAAUCUAGCUAAUUUUGACUGACAAAUGGAGAAUUAGGAGCACAUAUAGUUGUAUUUGUGAGAGCAUAGGGGGUGCCAAAGCCCCUGCCAGCACCCCCUGCCUCCGCCACUGCCCAAAUUCCUAUGGACUACCUUUCUCCAAAGCCCCCUCCAUAAGACAUCCAUUAUCCAAUCCAGUUUCUUCUUUACACUCAUUUUCUUAAGAUGGACGGUUUUUCCCCUUGUUCCAUCCAAACAUCUAUUUCUAUAGUUCUCAUGCUCCUUUUGCAAUCCUCUGGUUACUACGGCCAAAAGACACCUAGCAUCGACUUAAUCUGAAACUUACAAGUAUGUAAGUAGACUACAUAUUUAGAAAACCUCUCACAGUAUCAUAGUUUGUUUUUGGCUUACAACUCAUAAUGUUAUAAUCCUAUUAAAAGAAACAACAAGAGCAGUAAAAAUAUUGUUUUUCUCCCAAUAACAAGACAAUUAUGUACUUAUAUAUUUAUUCACAUGUUGAUUGCUUUGUAUGAUCCGUCGUCGAGCUCACCAUGUGACAUAUGAUAUCCUCGUCUCACAAUGUUCUAAGUAUGUUCGAUGAUUUGCUGCGUGCCAUUUGCACAAAAUGAAGAUCACACGUAGGUAAUUAUAGCCAUGCAAAAAUACCAUUGGUAUUAAUUGAAUAACUAAGAGAAAAUUUUCUUCUCCAUUGCAGUAUAAAUUUAUGCUUACAUUAUUGGCUCCAUACUUUAUAUCCAUUUCAAUAGGGAAGGAUUGAGUUGCUGGUACGGCAUAUACGCAACCGGGCAGCUGAUCAGAGAGGUUUUCACGCGUCAUAGAUGGAUGUUUAGGAUUUGGAUCAAUGCUUCUCCAACUUAAAGUUUUCCACGUCCUUGGUACUUCUUAUGUUGUUAGUUUGAGAACUUCAUGUUAUUUUGUUGUGUGCAUCUACUAAGCGGAGGUUGCAUUCUAAACCCGGUUAUGGUUGUAUUGGCUUGAUGCGAUGAUAAUAUUAGCACAAACUUCCUUUUAUCAUGAGAUUAUCUUAUGAUGGUGUGAGAGGAUCAAGACAAGUGAAAUACUAACAUGUGUACCAAACAUGGAUCAACUCUAUCCAUUGCGUCAAGAUUAUUAAAUCCUAACCAAAAAAAUAGAAACCAAGUGUCCAUAGGCAGUUAAAGCCCAUAUUACUUCAAACAUGUCAUGUUCGUGUUUGUGUCCCCCCCCCCCAGUCCCCUUUCGGAUUUCCACCGGAUGAGGUUCUCAGUAAUCCGUUUCAAAUUCCUAGACGUUCAAGCAGAUUGCCUUGGGACAAUCACAAGUUGUAUGAUCGGACAAUGUGCUCAUUUUCAUCCUAUGCGUUGGGAAGAGGCCAAUCUAAUAAUUUGUUUCUGCCCAUCCUCUGCUAUUUUCCCCUUCAACCUCCAUUGGAGGCCCGCUCAGUAGUUCUAAGGUGGGUAGGUUGUGCAACAAGAUCAAUGGCAAUACUAGCUUCUCCCUUUGGAAAUAUCUGUCCGAGACAUAGGCCUUGGCCAGUAGACACAUGUUCAUCAUCUUCAUCCUCGAUGCCGACAAUUUGGGAUGGCCAACCUUGGCUACUAGAGAUUGGUGGAAGCCCUCAUCUUAGGCUUUGACAGCUGCUUCAUGCAUCCCGAGAGAUAGUCCGUCUACUAGUGCCUUCGCCAAGUCGACGACAAUCAUUACCGAAAUCCUUGGUCGACUAUGUUGGUCACUGGUGGAAGCAUUAUCUGUGGUUUGUGCUGCCGUGGCAACUUAUUGUGCUUUAGCCGACACAUGGAGGCAUGUGCUCCCACGUGCAUCUCUAGGGUCAGGUUGUAAUUUUCUAUACUUCGUGGCCCUUGGUGUAAUACAAGUUGUACGGUGUUUUUUUGAAGAAAGGACACCUAAAGGGCAUAUUAGAUCUCAUAAUUAUCAAGGAAAUUGUAUCCAGUAUAAUGGAAAUACAAUUGGACGUCAAACGACUAGUAAAAUAAAAUAACAAUAAAAAUCAUAAUAGCAUUCUUUUUCCUUCGGUUAUACAUCACCUGCCGGAGAUCAAAAAAUGCACUUAACCAACAAGAAAGGAAAAGGACACCUGCAAGCGUCCUCGCUAUACCAAGUUUUAAAUUUCGCAAUAGUCAUCUCGAAAUCAUCGGAGAAACACCGGUUGGAGCAUCACUCGCACCCAACAUUGACUUUUAGUCCAUCACCGCCAAUCUAGAGAGUUGGAGAAACCAAACCAUGCCACAAAACAACAUAGAAGAAUAUGUUGAGGUCGCCUUACCAAUAGCCAGCCUAUUGCCCUCCUUGAUGACACACCAACUGCAAAGAUCCGAAGAGAGCCAACAUACCUGGAGACACAAACUCUCACAUGCCCUUCUUCAACACUGGAUUUGACAUCGUCGAGGUAGGAAGAGGCUAUUCUAGCACACCAUCGCCGUCACCACCACGUCGAUGCCGCCAUGGAAAUAAAAAUUCAUAAAAAAGAAAAACCAAACUAGAGAAUCCCCACUUGUGCCGCCGAAGUGAUCAAUAAAUGGAGGAGAGGAGGGGGACCGAAAGGGUGUCAUGGAGAAGACCUUUGGCGGAGGCGGCUAGGGUUGGGAACAAAAGGGCAUGUGUCUAUCACUUGACGCAGUUCUUACAGUGUGGUUAUUUGCAAAAGAAAAGUGUCGUUAGGGGAUGUGGAGUAUCUACCCACGAGCUUAUAUGCUCCUGGAUGAGCAGUAAAUUCAAAAUUUGUAAAAAUAAUAAUAAUUAUGGCAACGUUAAGGAAUGUUUAUGGUUGUUGUAAAGUUUCAUCAUGAAAUCAGAUUCAUGAAAGUCGCGGCCAAAUUUUUUUUACUCUGAAAAUGUAAUUUCGAAUGCAUUUUGAAGCUCUGGGUUUAUUUUUACUUUGCACGACUUUCACGAAUGUGAUUUCAUGAUAAAACUUUGCAACCACUUCAAACAUUCCUUAAUGUUUGCCAAUUUUUUUUUAGAAAUGUUUGAUUUUUUCUACUUUUUAUUUUACUGUUUGUAACAAGAGAACUUGAGCUCGGUCGAUAAGCCCUUCCCAGUUGCAUGACCCAAAGAUGACCGGCGGCCGUCGGCACAGAGAAGGACACCUACACACAGUGGUUAGUGUCCGUACGCUACGCACCGUGUGUUUCCUAGCUUGUGACAGAGCUGGCUCGAUCAUUAGUUAAUCACAUGCUACAUGGGGCUAGAGUGCAUGCGUGCAAGUGCGUGGCUUGCAAGGAGGAGAUGCGUUGCACGCCGAUCGAUCCUGCUCGCACUAAUUGUUUGACCCGCACAUCGUGCCUAGGACGUCGCUGCGCUGUUCUUUGACCGUGCAUGUGUAUGUGCACUUGUCCAACCUACACCAUACCAGCCACUUGAUUUUGACUGCAAUGCAAUACAUGCAUUUCCCCUGGCGUUAGACUAACCGCGCCUCGGUUCCCGUGACCUCAGUUUAUAUUCUACUCCUACGUGCAUGUUCGGUAGUACUCCCUCCGUUCCCAAAUACUCCCUCCGUCCCAUAAUAUAAUAACGUUUUUUACAAUUUGUCUUUUUAGAGAUUUCAACAAGUAACUACGUACGAAGCUUGAGUGAAUCUAGACUCUAAAAUAUGUCUACAUACAUCCGUAUGUUGUAGUCCAUUUGAAAUGUCUAGAAAGAUAAAUAUUUCGGAACGGAGGGAGUACAUUAUAUAUUCACAUUAGGAUUCCAGUUAUCUUUGGGUUACUGUUUGUAAUGAACAGUGGAACGAGUGAUGCCGCUUGGUGGCAGUUUUCCUUAUUUUCAGCCGGGCAUAAGGAGAGAUUUACCACAUCAACCAAUUAUGCUGGUUUAUUGCUCAAAAAUCACAGAAACGGGGAUAAAAAUGGAUCAUGGGCUGGACCAACCAGACGUGUGGCACCUGACCAAGACAAUGUCACAUGCUAGUUCGGGCGCUGAUAUGUCUCGCUUCAUGCUAGCUCGGGCGCUCAAUUUGCGAGAUGAAGCGAGCGCUCGCCAAGCAGCGCCCAUAAUGGCCCGUCUCAGCGGGGACGCGGGCAUUCAGUGUUUUCUUUUUCUUUCACUUUCUCUGCCUUGUUUUUGCUUUUUAUUACUCCCUCUCUAAAUUAAUAUAAGAGUGUUUAGAUCACUAAAGUAGUGAUCUAAACACUUUUAUAUUAGUUUUCGGAGGGAGUACUAUUUUCUUUAUAUCUCAUAAUAUUUUAGUUAUAUCUACAAUAAAAAUCACUUUACAUAUAGAAUUGGAAAAUGUUAAAUGCGCAUUCAAAAAAAAUGUUAACGUGUAUAAAGAAAAUAUUUAUCACGUAUNNNNNNNNNNNNNNNNNNNNNNNNNNNNNNNNNNNNNNNNNNNNNNNNNNNNNNNNNNNNNNNNNNNNNNNNNNNNNNNNNNNNNNNNNNNNNNNNNNNNNNNNNNNNNNNNNNNNNNNNNNNNNNNNNNNNNNNNNNNNNNNNNNNNNNNNNNNNNNNNNNNNNNNNNNNNNNNNNNNNNNNNNNNNNNNNNNNNNNNNNNNNNNNNNNNNNNNNNNNNNNNNNNNNNNNNNNNNNNNNNNNNNNNNNNNNNNNNNNNNNNNNNNNNNNNNNNNNNNNNNNNNNNNNNNNNNNNNNNNNNNNNNNNNNNNNNNNNNNNNNNNNNNNNNNNNNNNNNNNNNNNNNNNNNNNNNNNNNNNNNNNNNNNNNNNNNNNNNNNNNNNNNNNNNNNNNNNNNNNNNNNNNNNNNNNNNNNNNNNNNNNNNNNNNNNNNNNNNNNNNNNNNNNNNNNNNNNNNNNNNNNNNNNNNNNNNNNNNNNNNNNNNNNNNNNNNNNNNNNNUAGAAAAAAUGUUGACCAUAUAUUAAAAAAUGAUUACCAUGUAUUUCAAAAAUGUUGACCAUGUAUCGAAAAAAGUGUUCAAAACAUGUAUUUAAGAUCAUGUAUUUGUAAAAUGUUCAAUGUAUAUCAAAAAAUGUUUCAUGUGUACACUAAGAAUGUAUAUUCGGUAACAAAAAUGUAUUUUGAAAAAUGAAUAAAACAUAAAGAAAUAAAUAAAACAAAAAAAGUAACAAAGAAACCCAAGUAAAACAAAAAUAGAAAAGAAAAAAGAAAUAAGUCGUUCAAAAAAUGAAAACCAAAAUAUAAUGAAGGAAACCAAUUAAAGAAACAAAGAAAAUCAUAGUAUGUCAAAGGAAAAGAAAAUGCAAAAGAAAAAACCGAAGCGAAGAACCAGCGAACAAAACACUAGCGAACGAACGAAUGGGCCUGCCCAAUACUGUAGCAAGCUUGGGGGAUCCUUCGGCGGGAGCUCCUUCCAUGUCGCUUAAUGCGAGACAUAGCUCUCGCUUGCUAGCUCCGUGUUGCGGUUUGGACCUGAAAAAAUGGAAGUAAUGCUAACAGGAUUUACGAGUUAUGAGUCAUGGGUCGGAAGUAUUCAUUCGGUCAGAAGAACACAGAUCCGUCGUCAUGCCGCUCUUCCAUACUUUCCUUUUGUGUUUGCUGAAUUAUGCUUGUUUUUUUAGGAUGAACAGUAGGUAUCUAUGCUGCUUAUUUUAUAAUUUUUCAACAAGUAUGUAUAAAGAGCCAACGGGAAGAGCAUCUCCAAGGGCAAAUGCCAUAUUUAUGCCUCCAAAUAUUUGUGGAAAUGUCCGGAUAUGUACAUGGACAACAAAGGAUUAAGCCUCAUUUAUGGUCCCCUUGAAAUAUUUCUAUCAGUUUUUUAGCUGGUUUCCCUUUCUUUGUUCUUCAUUUUCUUUUAUUUUCUUGUAUUUUACUUUUGUUACACGAACAUUUAUUAAUUUCGCAAAUAAUUUUCAAAUACAUGAACAGUUGUUAAUCAUUCUUGAAUACUUUUAAAGUCCACAAACUUCUUCAAAUUCAUGAAUAGUUUUUAAUAUCUGGAAAAUUAUAAUAUUUAUUAAAAUUUGAAAUGAUCAUUUUUCUGAAUAUAUACAUUUUUAUUCUGCUAUAUUUUUCAAUACUUAUUCUGAAUUGGAUUUAGAAACCCGUCUGAAAUGACAAAAACCGACGAACUAACAUUAUACGGAUCAUCCUAUUCUGGGCCCCACGCAUGGAAGAGCAACCAACUGUGUGGUUCCUUGUAGUGGGCUGCCUCGUUUAUCCGUUUUUGACAUUUUUUUUUCUUGGAUGGGACACUAGGACUGGGCUGACCGAUUCUUGAGUUAGUUACUCCCCCAAACCGGCUGUUGCAUGAUUUAGACUAAACAAGGCUAUUGCAUGAAUUUUUUAAAAUAUAAAGAAAUUCUAAAAGAUAUUUGCAGAUAUAAAAAAUAUUCCAAUAUUUCUAAAAAUGUUCUCAAAAUUGAAACAAAAUCUAGAAUUUUUAUAAAAUACGAAUUUAAAAGGUUAUGAAAUCUGGUUGAAUAAACAAAAUGUACAUGUAUUUUAAGAAAUAUUUCGCAAAAUUUAAAGUUUUUCACAAAGUUAAAAAUGUGCAUGAAAAUGUUCGCACAUUAAGUAUACGAUUUGAAUUUAUUUUUGAGAUUUUAUAAAAUGUACACAAGUUUUUAAGAAUUAUUAAGUUUUGAAAAACAUUCGGGACUUAAAACUAUUCACGGAUUAGAAAUUUUAAAAAUAAAAAGGAAAUAAAGAAGAAAAAAGCAAAAGCAAAAUGCACUGGGCGCGACAAAGUGCAGCAGUAUACGGGGAAUAGGAAGUCACACAAAAACGAACCAACAAAACUGAGAAAGGGCCAAGAGGGCACAUGAUCCGUGGGAAAGUAUCUAGUGCACCCAGGCUUGGGGUGCUCCCGGUGCUCCAAAUGUCCGAAAGACAUUUUUAAAAUGUUCAAAAAAUUCUGAAAAAAAUGCAGCACAUCGACGGAACAUCGAUGUCUCUUGUCACAAAAAUUCAAAUCAAAAUUCGAAACAUUGCUCGAGAUACAAAAAUGAAAAAUUUAGCUGUUGUACUUGCGCGCAUUUUUCAGAUUCUAUGUGGGCUUUCUUGCAAAAAUGUUCACCAUCUCACAGGAGCUGUUGGAUUUGAGAUCCAACGGCUGAGGUCGCACGGGAGCACCUAAGCUUAGGUGCUCCCGGAGCACCAGAUAUUUUCCCCAUGAUCCGUAUGCAUUUGUAUAUGAUAUCGUUUCCUGGGAGAUGAGGGGUCGUCGGCCGUGGAUGGACGUUAGAAAGCUCGACGAAGCAACAGUUAACAAGCAUGUGGUGGUCUUCAGCUGUGUGCCUGGAUCCGACUGGUGAGCAAGACAACUGCCAUUGUGGGGGUGCAUGAUGAAUCCAGAAUGGCGUGGUGCAUAAUCGAAGCCAAUGCCGAUGAGGGGGUCAGCACCCGAACAGUGCGCUACGCCUCCACCAAGCGCCCAGGGACACUCAUAGACAUCGGUGGCGUCAUCUCCCUCCCCGAUAUCCGAAAGCAUCUCUUUUACACUACCACCCAACAUGUGGCGAUUCGGAUGCAGAAGCUGUAUGCCAUCGGAACGCAGCCUGAUGGCAGUCCUUUCGAGGUGGCAUCAUGAAAUUCUUCCAUCAACAUCACCUCCUCGAGCCCUUCAAUCAUGCAGGGGGGGAUCCGGUGACAUGGUAGAAGUCUUGAGGCGGCAUCGCAGGAAUCUUCCAUCAACGUUACUUCCUCAAGCCCUUCAAUCACACGAGAGGAGAAUUUUGUUGGGAAACAUUGCAUGGAAAACAAAAAAAAAAUUACGCGCACGCAAGAUCUCUCCAUGGAGAUGCAUAGCAACAACAGGGGAGAGUGUGUCUACGUACCCCCGUAGACCGUAAGCGGAAGCGUUUGACAACGCGGAUGAUGUAGUCGAACUUCUUCGCGUUCCAACCGAUCCAGCACCAAACGUACGGCACCUCCGCGUUCAGCACACGUUCAGAUGACGUCCUUCGCCUUCUCGAUCCAGCAAGACGGCGAGGUAGUGGAUGUGUUUCGGCAACACGCCGGUGUGGUGAUGGUGAUGGUGAAGCUAUCUCCACAGGGCUUCGCCUAAGCACUACGAAAACAUGACUGGGGUGUAAACGGUGGAGGGGGGCGCCGCACACGGCUAAGACAAUGUUGCGUUGUGCUAGGCGCCCCCUCCCGUCCCACAUAUAUAUAGGUGGGUGGGCGAGGGAGCAGCGAGGAGGGCGCCCCAAGUAGGCCGAAUCCUACUUGGGGUCCUCCCUAAGUGGCGCCCCCCUUUCCUUAUUUGUCGGGGAGGGAAAGGAAAGGGGGAGAGGGAAGGAAGGGGAGGCCAAAUCCUCCCCCUUUCCUUUCCCCACUUGGGCGGCUGCCAUAGGGGGUGAGCCAGCCCCUUGUGGGCUGGUGUGCUCCCCUCUAAUGGCCCAAUAGGCCCACUAACCUCCAGGGGGUGUCCGGUACCCCCUCGGGUACUCCGAUGUCUACACGGUACACUCCAAAACACUUUCGGUGUCCGAAUACCAUCUUCAUAUAUAUCAGUCUUUACCUCUCGACCACUUUGAGACUCCUCCUCAUGUCCGUGAUCUCAUCCGGGACUCCGAACAACAUUCGUUCACCUAAUCAUAUAACUCAUGUAACACUAUAUCAUCAACAAACGUUAAGCAUGCGGACCCUACGGGUUCGAGAACUAUGUAGACAUGACCGAGACACCUCUCCGGUCAAUAAUCAAUAGCGGAACCUGGAUGCCCAUAUUGGCUCCUAGAUAUUCUACGAAGAUCUUUAUCGGUCAAACCGUUAUGACAACAUACGUAAUUCCCUUUGUCCAUCGAUAUGUUACUUGCCCGAGAUUCGAUCAUCGGUAUCUUCAUACCUAGUUCAAUCUCGUUACCGGCAAGUCUCUUUACUCGUCCUGUAAUACUUCAUCUUGCAACUAACUCAUUAGUCACUUUGCUUGCAAGGCUUCUUAUGAUGUGUAUUACCGAGAGGGCCCAGAGAUACCUCUCUGAUACUUGGAGUGACAAAUCCUAAUCUCGAUCUAUGCCAACUCAACAAACACCUUCGGAGAUACCUGUAGAGCAUCUUUAUGAUCACCCAAUUACGUUGUGACGUUUGAUAGCACACAAGGUAUUCCUCCGGUAUCCGGGAGUUGCAUAAUCUCAUAGUCGAAGGAAUAUGUAUUUAACAUGAAGGAAGCAAUAGCAAUAAACUGAACGAUCAAUAUGCUAAGCUAACAGAUGGGUCUUGUCCAUCACAUCAUUCCCCUAAUGAUGUGAUCCCGUUAUCAAAUGACAAACAUGUCCAUGGUUAGGAAACCUUAACCAUCUUUGAUCAACGAGCUAGUCUAGUAGAGGCUUACUAGGGACACGGUAUUUGUUUAUGUAUUCACACAUGUAUUUAAGUUUCCGAUCAACACAAUUUUAGCAUGAAUAAUAAACCUUUAUCAUGAAUAAGGAAAUAUAAAAUAACAACUUUAUUAUUGCCUCUAGGGCAUAUUUCCUUCAAAUUUGGUGGGACAUCUAUUUUGCGCCACCACCCAACAUGGGAGAUUCGGGUGAGAAAGCAGACCAUAAUAACCUUCAUCACCACUAGCGUCACCAAGAAGCACAUGAGGAGCAGGGAAGGGCAAAGAGGGAACAUGAUCUGUACGCUUCCGUUUAUGGCAUCACUCCCUGGGAGAUGAGGGGCUGUCGACCAUGGAUGGACGUUAGAAAGCUUGACGAAGAAACAGUCGGCAAGAAUGUGGUGGUCUUUGAUCUGUGCGGUGGAUUUGGUCGCUGAGAAAGACUAUUGCCAUUGUCGGGCUGCACGAUGAAUGGUGUCGUGUAUAACCGAAGCCAGUGCCAAAGACGGGGGUCACCACCCGGAUGGUAUUCUUCGCCUCUAGCAUGCGCCUAGGGACCCUAAUAGAUGUAGAGGUUGACGUCUCCCUCCCCCAGAGUUGGAAGCAUCUAUUUGACACCACCACCCAACAGGUGGCGAUUCAGGUGAGAAAGCUAUAUGCCAUCGAAAGGCAGUCAUAUGGCAGUCCUUUUGACGCAGCAUCACGGAGUUAUUCCAUCAACAUCACCUCCUCGAGCCCUUCAAUCAUGCGGAAGGGGAAUCCGGUCAGACGAGAGAGGGAUCUUUUGAGCUGGGGGAUGGACAAGUAGGUCCAUUCCAUAUUUUAGCUACCUUCUUAGAUAAGAAACUUAUAUAGACCUGAGUAAUAAAGAGACGAGGCUCUUAUACCAAUUGAAAGGGCCAGUUUGGUCGACUAGAGGGGGGUGAAUAGGCGACUAACAAUUUUUUAUUCUCUUUAUAACAAAUUAAGGGUUGACAUGAAAAUAGUUUGUCUAGAUAUGCAACUAGGUGGACAACCUAUAUGACAAGCACAACAGCAAGCAAACAAGCAAGCAUAAGGUAAACACAAUAUAAGCUUGCAGAAAGUAAAGAUUAGAAUUAAUAUCGAGUGGUGUCGAUGAAGGCGGUGAUGUGUUACCGAAGUUUCCUCCCUUUAGAGGGAGGUACGUCUCAGUUGGAGCUGCGUGGAGGCACAAUGCUCCCCAAGAAAGUCACUAGGGCCACCGUAUUAUCCUCACACCCUCGCACAANNNNNNNNNNNNNNNNNNNNNNNNNNNNNNNNNNNNNNNNNNNNNNNNNNNNNNNNNNNNNNNNNNNNNNNNNNNNNNNNNNNNNNNNNNNNNNNNNNNNNNNNNNNNNNNNNNNNNNNNNNNNNNNNNNNUUGAAACUUAGGCAGAUUUUGGCACAAGUUAAGAUAACACCAAGACUUUCUACACAUGCAUAUCUAGGGAUAGAGCAGCGAAAAAUAGUAAAUCAUGCAAUUAUACGGAAAGUCUCUACAAAAAAAGACACAUCCGUGACAUUUUGGGCCGAACGAAUUUUUUUUCUGUCAUGCUUAUGACACUUCUAUGACGAUAAUUGUGACAAAACCCGGUAUCAUCAUAGAUGUGGUGGGCUCCUACUUCUAUGACAAAAAAUCAUAACAGAAAAUGGGAUUUUCAUCUUGGGCGGGCCGGAGACGCAGCUGCAUGACAUUCUUUGGGCCGUCCAUGAUGGAAAAAAUCAUGGUAGAAGCGAGGGCGAGAAAAAUAUCGGGGAGUUCCCGGUUACGGUGGGUGGUCGGGGGCAGAGCGAUGCGCGUUUCUCUCGCACACGUACGCGCGUGGGAGCGAAGUGUUGGGCUCUAACUGAACCCGAGCAAGGCGUUCGCCUACUGAAUCCGAGCGAUUGCACUGCAGGCUAUGCAUUACUGAACCCGAGCGAUCGUUCAAUCUGGCUGUUAACUGAACUCGAUCGAGAGGUUCCUUUGCUACUGCUGCUAUUUGAAGCCGAUCGAACUUGCUGCCUCCUUCCCUUGAUGAACAGUGAGCGUUGUUGGGGGGGGGGGUUGGAUGAACAGUUCCCGGUGGGGGGUUGGAUGAACAGGACCCCGUGGUAGUAGAGGCCGUUGCCGCUGGAUGAACAGGAUGUUGGAAAUAUGCCCUAGAGGCAAUAAUAAAUAGGUUAUUAUUAUAUUUCCUUGUUCAUGAUAAUCGUUUAUUAUCCAUGCUAGAAUUGUAUUGAUAGGAAACUCAGAUACAUGUGUGGAUACAUAGACAACACCAUGUCCCUAGUAAGCCUCUAGUUGACUAGCUCGUUGAUCAAUUGAUGGUUACGGUUUCCUGACCAUGGACAUUGGAUGUCGUUGAUAACGGGAUCACAUCAUUAGGAGAAUGAUGUGAUGGACAAGACCCAAUCCUAAGCCUAGCACAAGAUCGUGUAGUUCGUUUGCUCAGAGCUUUUCUAAUGUCAAGUAUCAUUUCCUUAGACCAUGAGAUUGUGCAACUCCCGGAUACCGUAGGAAUGCUUUGGGUGUGCCAAACGUCACAACGUAACUGGGUGGCUAUAAAGGUGCACUACGGGUAUCUCCGAAAGUGUCUGUUGGGUUGGCACGAAUCGAGACUGGGAUUUGUCACUCCGUGUAAACGGAGAGGUAUCUCUGGGCCCACUCGGUAGGACAUCAUCAUAAUGUGCACAAUGUGACCAAGGAGUUGAUCACGGGAUGAUGUGAGUUACGGAACGAGUAAAGAGACUUGCCGGUAACGAGAUUGAACAAGGUAUAGGGAUACCGACGAUCGAAUCUCGGGCAAGUAACAUACCGUUAGACAAAGGGAAUUGCAUACGGGAUUGAUUGAAUCCCCAACAUCGUGGUUCAUCCGAUGAGAUCAUCGUGGAACAUGUGGGAGCCAACAUGGGUAUCUAGAUCCCGCUGUUGGUUAUUGACCGGAGAACGUCUCGGUCAUGUCUGCAUGGUUCCCGAACCCGUAGGGUCUACACGCUUAAGGUUCGAUGACGCUAGGGUUAUAGGGAAAGCAUGUACGUGGUUACCGAAUGUUGUUCGGAGUCCCGGAUGAGAUCCCGGACGUCACGAGGAGUUCCGGAAUGGUCCGGAGGUAAAGAUUUAUAUAUGGGAAGUCCUGUUUUGGUCACCGAAAAAGUUUCGGGUGAAAUCGGUAAUGUACCGGGACCACCGGGAGGGUCCCGGGGGUCCACCAAGUGGGGCCACCAGCCCCAGAAGGCUGCGUGGGCCAAGUGUGGGAGGGGACCAGCCCCAGGUGGGCUGGUGCGCCCCCCCACCAAGGCCCAAGGCGCAUGGGAGAGUGGGAGGGGGCAAACCCUAGGUCCAGAUGGGCCUUAGGGCCCAUCUAGUGGGUCGCCCCCCCUCUCCUCCCCUUGGCCGCCCCCUUGAUGGGAUCUAGGGCUGGCCGCCUCCUCUUGGGGGUGGAAACCCUAAAGGGAGCGCAGCCCCCUCCCCCCUAUAUAUAGUUGAGGUUUGGGCUGCCCAAGACACACGAGAACGUCUCUCUUUCGGUGCAGCCCUACCCCUCUCCCUCCUCCUCCUCUCCCGCGGUGCUUGGCGAAGCCCUGCGGGAUUGCCACGCUCCUCCACCACCACCACGCCGUCGUGCUGCUGCUGGAUGGAGUCUUCCCCAACCUCUCCCUCUCUCCUUGCUGGAUCAAGGCGUGGGAGACGUCACCGGGCUGCACGUGUGUUGAACGUGGAGGCACCGUUCUUCGGUGCUUAGAUCGGAAUCAACCGCGAUCUGAAUCGCUACGAGUACGACUCCCUCAUCCGCGUUCUUGCAACGCUUCCGCAUCGCGAUCUACAAUGGUAUGUAGAUGCACUCUCCUUCCCCUCGUUGCUAGAUUACUCCAUAGAUUGAUCUUGGUGAUGCGUAGAAAAUUUUGAAUUUCUGCUACAUAACCCAACAGUGGCAUCAUGAGCUAGGUCUAUGCGUAGUUUCUAUGCACGAGUAGAACACAAAGUAGUUGUGGGCGUCGAUGUUGUCAAUUCUUCUUGCCGCUACUAGUCUUAUCUUGUUUCGGCGGCAUUGUGGGAUGAAGCGGCCCGGACCGACCUUACACGUACACUUACGUGAGACAGGUUCCACCGACUGACAUGCACUAGUUGCAUAAGGUGGCUAGCGGGUGUCUGUCUCUCCCACUUUAGUCGGAACGAAUUCGAUGAAAAGGGUCCUUAUGAAGGGUAAAUAGAAAUUGGCAUAUCACGUUGUGGUUUUACGUAGGUAAGAAACGUUCUUGCUAGAAACCUAUACAAGCCACGUAAAAACUUGCAACAACAAUUAGAGGACGUCUAACUUGUUUUUGCAGCAUGUGCUAUAUGAUGUGAUAUGGCCAGAAGAUGUGAUAAAUGAUAUAUGUGAUGUAUGAGAUUGAUCAUAUUCUUGUAAUAGGAAUCACGACUUGCAUGUCGAUGAGUAUGACAACCGGCAGGAGCCAUAGGAGUUGUCUUUAUUUUUUGUAUGACCUGCGUGUCAUUGAAUAACGCCAUGUAAAUUACUUUACUUUGUUGCUAAGCGCGUUAGCCAUAGAAGUAGAAGUAAUCGUUGGCGUGACAACUUCAUGAAGACACAAUGAUGGAGAUCAUGGUGUCAUGCCGGUGACAAAGAUGAUCAUGGUGCCCCGAAGAUGGAGAUCAAAGGAGCAAAAUGAUAUUGGCCAUAUCAUGUCACUAUUUGAUUGCAUGUGAUGUUUAUCAUGUUAUGCAUCUUAUUUGCUUAGAACGACGGUAGUAAGUAAGAUGAUCCCUCACUAAAAUUUCAAGAGAUGUGUUCCCCCUAACUGUGCACCGUUGCGAAGGUUCGUUGUUUCGAAGCACCACGUGAUGAUCGGGUGUGAUAGAUUCUAACGUUCGAAUACAACGGGUGUUGACGAGCCUAGCAUGUACAGACAUGGCCUCGGAACACAAGCAAAAACACUUAGGUUGACUUGACGAGCCUAGCAUGUACAGACAUGGCCUCGGAACACAAGAGACCGAAAGGUCGAACAUGAGUCGUAUAGGAGAUACGAUCAACAUGGAGAUGUUCACCGAUGAUGACUAGACCGUCUCACGUGAUGAUCGGACAUGGCCUAGUUUGACUCGGAUCAUGAAUCACUUAGAUGACUAGAGGGAUGUUUAUCUGAGUGGGAGUUCAUUAAUCAGAUGAACUCAAUUAUCAUGAACAUAGUCAAAAGAUCUUUGCAAAUUAUGUCAUACGCUUUAGUUCUACUGUUUAAGAUAUGUUCCUAGAGAAAAUUUAGUUGAAAGUUGGUAGUAGCAAUUAUGCGGACUGGGUCCGUAAACUGAGGACUGUCCUCAUUGCUGCACAGAAGGCUUAUGUCCUUAAUGCACCGCUCGGUGUGCUGAACCUCAGCGCCGUCUGUAGAUGUUGCGGAACAUCUGACAUACACGUUUUGAUAACUACGUGAUAGUUCAGUGCAUAAUGCUAACGGUUUAGAAUUGUGGCACCAAAGACGGUUUUUGAAACGUCGCAGAACAUAUGAGAUGUUCUGAAGACUGAAAUUGGGAUUUCAGACUAGUGCCCGCGUCAAGAGGUAUGAGACCUCUGACAAGUUUCUUAAGCCUGAAGACUAAGGGAGAAAAGCUCAAUCGUUGAGCAUGUACUCAGAUUGUCUGAGUACUACAAUCGCUUGAAUCAAGUGGGAGUUAAUCUUCCAGAUGAGAUAGUGAUGAUUCUCCAUAAUCACUGCCACCAAGCUAUUAGAGCUUCGUGAUGAACUAUAAAUAUCAGGGAUAGUUAUGAUGAUCCUUGAGCUAUUCGCGAUGUUUGACACCGCGAGAGUAGAAAUCAAGAAGGAGCAUCAAUUGUUGAUGGUUUGUAAAACCACUAGUUUCUAGAAGGGCAAGGGCAAAAGGGAUACUUCAUGAAACAGCAAAUCGUUUGCUGCUCUAGUGAAGAAUCCCAAGGUUGAACCCAAACCCGAGACUAAGUGCUUCUGUAAUGAGGGGAACGGUCACUGAAGCAGUACUACCCUAGAUACUUGGUAGAUGAGAAGGCGGGCAAGGUCGACAGAAGUAUAUUGGAUAUACGUUAUAUGAAUGUGUACUUUACUAGUACUCCCAGCAGCACCAGGGUAUUAGAUACCGGUUCGGUUGCUAAGUGUUAGUAACUCGAAAUAAAAGCUGCGGAAUAAACGGAGACUAGCUAAAGGUGAGAUGACGAUAUGUGUUGGAAGUGUUUCCAAGGUUGAUGUGAUCAAGCAUCGCAUGCUCCCUCUACUAUCGAGAUUUGCUGUUUGCGUUGAGCAUGAUUGGAUUAUGUUUAUCGCAAUACGGUUAUUCAUUUAAGGAGAAUAAUGGUUACUCUGUUUAUUUGAAUAAUACCUUCAAUGGUCUUGCACCUAAAAUGAAUCUCGAUCGUAGUGAUACACAUGUUCAUGCCAAAAGAUAUAAAAUAGUAAUGAUAGUUCCACAUACUUGUGGCACUGCCAUUUGAGUCAUAUUGGUAUAGAACGCAUGAAGAAGCUCCAUGUAGAUGGAUCUUUGGACUCAGUCGUUUUUGAAAAGAUUGAGACAUGCGAACCAUGUCUAUUGGUAUAUAUGCAUGAAGAAACUCCAUGCAGAUGGAUCGUUUGGACUCACUUGAUUUUGAAUCACUUGAGACAUGCAAAUCAUACCACAUGGGCAAGAUGACUGAAAGUCCUCGUUUUCAAUAAGAUGGAACAAGAGAGCAACUUAUUGGAAGUAAUACAUUUUGAUGUAUGCAGUCCAAUGAGUGCUGAGGCAUGCAGUGGAUAUCGUUAUGUUCUUACUUCACAGAUGAUUUGAGUAGAUGCUGAGUGUAUUUACUUGAUGAAACACAAGUCUGAAUUAUUGAAAGGUUCAAGUAAUUUCAGAGUGAAGUUGAAGAUCGUUGUGACAAGAGGAUAAAAUGUCUGUGAUAUGAUCAUAGAGAUGAGUAUCUGAGUUACGAGUUUGGCACACAAUUAAGACAUUGUGGAAAGUGUUUCACAAUUAAUACUGCCUGGAACACCAUAGUGUGAUGGUGUGUCCGGACAUCAUAGCUGCACCCUAUUGGAUAUGGUGCAUACCAUGAUGUCUCUUAUCGAAUUACCACUAUCGUUUAUGGGUUAGGCAUUAGAGACAACCGGAUUCACUUUAAAAGGGGCACCACGCAAUUCCGUUGAGACGACACCGUUUAGAGAAACCUAAGUUGUCGUUUCUUAAAAGUUUGGGGCUGCGAUGCUUAUGUGAAAAAGUUUCAGGCUGAUAAGCUCGAACCCAAAGCGGAUAAAUGCAUCUUCAUAGAAAACCCAAAACAGUUGGGUAUACCUCCUAUUUCAGAUCUGGAAGCAAAAGUAAUUGCUUCUAGAAACGGGUCCUUUCUCGAGGAAAAGUUUCUCUCGAAAGAAUUGAGUGGGAGGAUGGUGGAGACUUGAUAAGGUUAUUGAACCGUCACUUCAACUAGUGUGUAGCAGGGCACAGGAAGUUGUUCCUGUGGCACCUAUACCAAUUGAAGUGGAAGCUUAUGAUAGUAAUCAUGAAACUUCGGAUCAAGUCACCAGCAAACCUCGUAGGACGACGAGGAUGCGUGCUACUUCAGAAUGGUACGUGAUCCUGUCUUGGAAGUCAUGUUGUUGGACAACGAUGAACCUAUGAGCUAUGGAGAAGCGAUGGUGGGCCCAUGUUCCGACAAAUGGUUAGAAGCCAUGAAAUCCGAGAUAAAUGGAUCUUUGAGAAGAAGACGGACGUGGACGGUAAUGUUACCGUCUAUGAAGCUCGACUUGUGGCGAAGAGUAUUUCCACAAGUUCAAGGAGUUGACUACGAUGAGAUUUUCUCAUCCGUAGCGAUGCUUAAGUCCGUCGGAAUCAUGUUAGCAUUAGCUGCAUUUAUGAAAUCUGGCAGAUGGAUGUCAAAACAAGUUUCCUUACCAGUUUUCGUAAGGAAAGGUUGUAUGUGAUACAAUCAGAAACGUUUUGUCAAUCCUAAGGAUGCUAAAAGGUAUGCUAGCUCCAGCGAUCCUUCCAUGGACUAGAGCAAGCAUCUCGGAGUCAGAAUAUACGCUUUGAUGGAGUGAUCAAAGUUUUUGGGUUUAUACAAAGUUUGUUAGAAACUUGUAUUUACAAUAAAGUGAGUGGGAGCGCUACAACAUUUCUGAUAAGUAUAUGUGAAUGACAUAUUGUUGAUCCGAAAUGAUGUAAAAAUUUCUGGAAAGCAUAAAGGGUUGUUUGAAAGGAGUUUUUCAAAGGAAGACCUGGAAAAAGCUACUUACAUAUUGGGCAUCAGGAUCUAUAGAGAAAGAUCAAGACGCCCGAUGAUACUUUCAAAGAACACACACCUUGACAUGAUUUUGAAAGAGUUCAAAAUAGAUCAGCAAAGAAGGAGUUCUUGGCUGUGUUACAAGGGGUGAGUAUUGAGUAAGACUCGAGACCUGACCACAGCAGAAGAGAGAGAAAGGACGAAGGUCGUCCCCUAUGCUUUAGACGUAGGCUCCACAGUAUGCUACGCUGUGUACCGCACAUGAAGUGUGCCUUGCCAUGAGUUGGUCAAGGGGUACAAUAGUGAUCCGGGAAAGGAUCACAUGACAGCGGUCGGACUUGUCCUUAGUAUCUAGUGGACUAAGGAAUUUUCUCGAUUAUGGAGGUGAAAAGGAGUUCGUCGUAAAGGGUUACGUCGAUGCGAACUUUGACACUAAUCUGGAUGACUCCGAGUAGUAAACCGGAUUCGUAUAGUAGAGCAAUUAUUUGAAAUGGCUCCAAAUAGCGCGUGGUAGCAUCCACAAGAUGACAUAGAUAUUCGUAAAGCACACACGAAUCUGAAAGGUUCAGACCCGUUGACUAAUAACCUCUCUCACAAGCAUAACAUGAUCAAACUAGAACUCAUUGAGUGUUAAUCACAUAGAGAUGUGAACUAGAUUGUUGACUCUAGUAAACUCUUGGGUGUUGGUCACAUGGUGAUGUGACCUAUCAGUGUUAAUCACAUGGUGAUGUGAACUAGAUUAUUGACUCUAGUGCAAGUGGGAGACUGUUGGAAAUAUGCCCUAGAGGCAAUAAUAAAUAGGUUAUUAUUAUAUUUCCUUGUUCAUGAUAAUCGUUUAUUAUCCAUGCUAGAAUUGUAUUGAUAGGAAACUCAGAUACAUGUGUGGAUACAUAGACAACACCAUGUCCCUAGUAAGCCUCUAGUUGACUAGCUCGUUGAUCAAUUGAUGGUUACGGUUUCCUGACCAUGGACAUUGGAUGUCGUUGAUAACGGGAUCACAUCAUUAGGAGAAUGAUGUGAUGGACAAGACCCAAUCCUAAGCCUAGCACAAGAUCGUGUAGUUCGUUUGCUCAGAGCUUUUCUAAUGUCAAGUAUCAUUUCCUUAGACCAUGAGAUUGUGCAACUCCCGGAUACCGUAGGAAUGCUUUGGGUGUGCCAAACGUCACAACGUAACUGGGUGGCUAUAAAGGUGCACUACGGGUAUCUCCGAAAGUGUCUGUUGGGUUGGCACGAAUCGAGACUGGGAUUUGUCACUCCGUGUAAACGGAGAGGUAUCUCUGGGCCCACUCGGUAGGACAUCAUCAUAAUGUGCACAAUGUGACCAAGGAGUUGAUCACGGGAUGAUGUGAGUUACGGAACGAGUAAAGAGACUUGCCGGUAACGAGAUUGAACAAGGUAUAGGGAUACCGACGAUCGAAUCUCGGGCAAGUAACAUACCGUUAGACAAAGGGAAUUGCAUACGGGAUUGAUUGAAUCCCCGACAUCGUGGUUCAUCCGAUGAGAUCAUCGUGGAACAUGUGGGAGCCAACAUGGGUAUCCAGAUCCCGCUGUUGGUUAUUGACCGGAGAACGUCUCGGUCAUGUCUGCAUGGUUCCCGAACCCGUAGGGUCUACACGCUUAAGGUUCGAUGACGCUAGGGUUAUAGGGAAAGCAUGUACAUGGUUACCGAAUGUUGUUUGGAGUCCCGGAUGAGAUCCCGGACGUCACGAGGAGUUCUGGAAUGGUCCGGAGGUAAAGAUUUAUAUAUGGGAAGUCCUGUUUUGGUCACCGGAAAAGUUUCGGGUGAAAUCGGUAAUGUACCGGGACCACCGGGAGGGUCCCGGGGGUCCACCAAGUGGGGCCACCAGCCCCAGAAGGCUGCGUGGGCCAAGUGUGGGAGGGGACCAGCCCCAGGUGGGCUGGUGCGCCCCCCCACCAAGGCCCAAGGCGCAUGGGAGAGUGGGAGGGGGCAAACCCUAGGUCCAGAUGGGCCUUAGGGCCCAUCUAGUGGGGCGCCCCCCCUCUCCUCCCCUUGGCCGCCCCCCUUGAUGGGAUCUAGGGCUGGCCGCCUCCUCUUGGGGGUGGAAACCCUAAAGGGGGCGCAGCCCCCUCCCCCCUAUAUAUAGUUGAGGUUUGGGCUGCCCAAGACACACGAGAACGUCUCUCUUUCGGUGCAGCCCUACCCCUCUCCCUCCUCCUCCUCUCCCGCGGUGCUUGGCGAAGCCCUGCGGGAUUGCCAUGCUCCUCCACCACCACCACGCCGUCGUGCUGCUGCUGGAUGGAGUCUUCCCCAACCUCUCCCUCUCUCCUUGCUGGAUGAAGGCGUGGGAGACAUCACCGGGCUGCACGUGUGUUGAACGCGGAGGCACCGUUCUUCGGUGCUUAGAUCGGAAUCAACCGCGAUCUGAAUCGCUACGAGUACGACUCUCUCAUCCGCGUUCUUGCAACGCUUCCGCAUCGCGAUCUACAAUGGUAUGUAGAUGCACUCUCCUUCCCCUCGUUGCUAGAUUACUCCAUAGAUUGAUCUUGGUGAUGCGUAGAAAAUUUUGAAUUUCUGCUACAUAACCCAACACAGGACCCCAAUCAAUCAAGCCGGUUGGGGGUGGAUGAACAGGACCCCGUGGAGGGCUGGAUGAACAGGACGACCCCGUGGAGAGCUGGUUGAACAGUAGCCGGUGGAGGGCUGGAUGAGUAGUAGCCCGUGGAGGGGUGGUUGAACAGGACCCCGUGGAGAGGGAUGGUUGAAUAGUAGCCGGUGGAGGAGCGGUGGAGGCUGUAUGAACAGGAGCCCGUGGAUGAACAGUCGCAGGUGGAGGCUGGAGGAGGGCGACGGUGGAUGAACAGUAGCCCGUGGAGGCUGGAGGAGGUCGAUGGUGGAGAUGAACAGUAGCCCAUGGAGUCCCGUUUUGCGGUACGCCACACCCCUCCCGAUGAACAUGACCCCCGUUUCGACCGUAGCGCUCGAACACAAGUCCGUUUCCUCCGUUUUGCGGUACGCCACAUCCCUUCCGAUCAACAGGACCCUGUUUUGACCAUAGGAGGUCCAAGAGAAGUUCGUUUCCUCCGUUUUGCGGUACGCUAGACCCCUCCCAAUGAAUAGGAUCCCGUUUCGACCAUGGCCGGUCGAACAGAAGGCCGUUUCCUCCGUUCUGCGGUAUGCUAGGCCUCGUUUCGAUCGGCUGUUUCAUCCAAGCCAGUUGGCACCCGAUGAACACGACGACGUAGUUUCUCAAUUCCGACCCAGCCGGUUGGCUGCCGAUGAACACGACGCCGUCGCUGCCUCUCCAUGUACACGAGCCCUGGCCGUACGUAUGCACGAGUAGGCGUUCGAUACCCCGCCCGUAUGUAUGUACGUGGCCGUAUUUACUUUCUUGCACACUGGUUGUACGUACGUGUAUACGAUAUUAACGGGACUGCGUGACAUGCUACGUGCGCGCCUCUACUACGACAUGUGCGCGCCUAUAGUACGACACGUGCCCUUCCUUGCUCGGCCACGGUUCAUUGUUGUAGCCUGCAGACAGACCGAUCAUAUGUACGUACACGUUCACAGCCAGAAUGACAACGCUACGUACGCUUUGACCAGGUGGGUCCCGACAGUCCGGGAGGAUAAGGAGGCACUUCCUUGCGUGCGAAGAUGUAGCUGGUGGGUCCCAGGAGUCAGGGGAAACAUUUUUUUUGCUAAAUACGGUGGCCCGUCCGGUGGGUCCUUGCUGUCAGGUGGAGGAAUCAUUAUUUUCCGCGUAAUAAGGAGGCACUUCCUUGCCGCGGCCAUGGACCCAGCCGUCAGCCUCUCCACGUACAUUACUCUUCUGAUGGAAGUCGUUCCUUGACCACGUUGACCACGCCGCGCCGAGAGCACCAGGGCGGUGGACGACGGCGAGGCCUAGGAAGGGGACGACGCGGAGCCGGAGAAGACGCGGCAGUGGAUGCCCACGCGGAGAGGAGUACGAGGGUUCACUGGUUCAGCUGCGAUGAGAGGCUGUCGUCGCCGCAAAAUAACAGGGGGUGUGGGUGAGUAGAGAGAUGGCCUGGCCAGCGGUGGGAGUAGUACGGGGCGGUGAGGCCUCCGCGGCAGCAUAGCCGGCCACGGGAGGCAGGAGCACGCGGCACGACCAGCGCUGGUUUGUGCGGCUGGAGCAAGAAGACCAGAGGUUGAAGAAGCACUACGGCCGUUGGAUGGACAUCGUAUAGUCACUAGAGCUAGAAUCGUUCAUACUGACUAAGUUGACAAAGCCCUCCAUCCCCGUCAACUUAGUAGGCCCACAAGUCAGCCUCCCACUAUGGUGGGUUCUAGCUAGCAGGGGGAGUAUUCAUUUUUUUGUGCAUAAUAAGGAGGCACUUCCUUGCGUGCGAAGAUAUAGCUGGUGGGUCCGAGCUGUCAGCGGGGGGAACUUUUUUUCAUGAAAUACAGAGGCCCUUCCGGUGGGUCCCAGCUGUCAGGUGGAGGAAUCAUUAUUUUGCGUGUAAUAAGGAGGCAUUUCCUUGUGUGCGGCCAUGGACCCAGCUGUCAGCCUCUCCACGUACAGUCCACUUCCGAUGGAUGUCGUUCGUUAACCACGUUGACCAUGCCGCGCUGAGAGCACCAGGGCGGUGGACGACGGCAAGGCCUAUAAAGGGAACGACACGGAGCCAGGGAAGACUCGGCAAUGGUUGCCCACACAGUGGGGAGUACGAGGGUUUACUGGUUCGGCUGCCGUCGCCGGAAAAUAACAGGAGGUGUGGGUGAGUAGAGGAAUGGUCUGGCCAGCGAUGGAGUAGGGUGGGGCGGUGCGGCCUAUGCCGCAGCACAGCCGGCCACGGGAGGCGGGAGCAGGCAGUCCCACUAGCGCUGGUUUGGGCGGCUGGAGCAAGAAGAUCAGAUAUUGAACAAGCAGCACGGCCGUUGGAUUAACAUCCAACGAUCAUUGCUGCUAGAAUCGUUUGUGGACUAAGUUGACAAAGCCUUUCGUACACGUCAACCUAGUAGACCCACAAGUCAGCCUCCAAAUCUGUCCCAAACAGUAUACAGACCGAAAUUUGUAGCCAGAUUCAAAUUAAUUUAAAAACUAAACAUACCUUAAUUUAAAUCCAAUGAAAUUUUACCCGCACAAAAACAAUAAAAUUUAAAAUAUCAAAAUCCGAAAGAAAAAAGUAUUUUGGAACUUUUUUUGAGACAAAAAAGUAUUUUGGAACUAAUUGCCUGUUUGAUGUAUUUUUUCAUUUUACAGCCCAUUUCUUAUUACUUAUAGCCCAUUUUCUGGGCAAGCCCGAAUGCAUCCCUCCUCGUCUUGAAAGAUUUCUGGCCCAGCAGGGCGUAGAAAAGCAAGUAGGCCUACGUUGGUUAUUCCGCAAAAAACAUAACAGCUGGGCUAGCCAUUUUCAGAAAGGAAAAAACAAACUGGGCUGGUCAUGUGGUAAACAUAUGAAAUAAAAGCCUGGGCUAGACGGGCCACGGCUCCCGCGCAACCCAGUUGAUACCCUUCUCCAUCGCCAAAAACAAAAUUACUGCGCGCGCUGUUGGGUCCCUACUGUCAUCCUCACCAUGUACAGUCAUCUCCUUAUUCCUCUCGGUUGUUGACCAUGUUGACAACACCGGAGGGCGGCGCCGCGGCGAGCGAACCAAGACGAAGGAUGAUGGUGAGGCCUCGGACAGGAACGAACAAGAGCUGGGGAAGAUGCGCAGAGUUUUAGGGUGCAUUGUGGCCACAAUGCGUGCGCGGCAGCACAGCCAACCGUGGGAGGCGGCAGCAGGCAGUCUCGCCGGCGCUGGUUUGGCUUUGGCGGCUGAAGGAAGAAGUGACUGAAGAAACACGACAGACGUUGAAUGUCAAUCGAACGGUCAAGGUUGGCACAAUCGUUUGUUGACUAAGCCAACACCAAGUAGCAUAUUUUUUAUAUAUAGGAAGAAAAGAAAAACUGGGCUCGUUCGCCUGAUAACAUUCCCAAAACUGCUACCGUUCGAUCUUGCAUCGCAACUAAAACUGCGAGGAAAAUGCGUUUGUCCGCCGUCCUCCUGCCAGGGAACGUUCGCCACAUAAGUGACUAGCACCCUUGGUUUUCAACCGAGAGGUCUUGGGUUCGAGUCCCAGGAACUCUCAAUUUUGUCCUCCUUCCUUCCUCGCAAAAAAGAAAGAAAAUCAAAGACUUGAGAAGGCGUACAGAACAAGCUAGUGUACUAGUAAAGAUACGUUGCCGAGUUUUAGAAAAAAGAGAGACGUGCUCCUGUAGCUGGUUCGAAUCCAAGCCUAGACUAUGACUAUAUGGUGCUAUGCUACUCUGCAAGUAAUGAAACUGACAUAUCCAACGUUUGUUUCUCCUCUUCUCUACUUACUCUACCUAGCAUCAGAAGUUCUGGCCGCAGCAACCAUGUCCGCUGGCUGCUCGUCCACCUGCUCUUCAGUAGACAACAACCAGAUAUGCGCCAAGUUGCCACCCGUACCAUCCCUGUGAGUCUCAUCACACCCCCGCCGGCACACGCACCACAGCCGGUUGCUCAUCGCAACCCGCUGCCGUUGGUAUGGUGCCACUGCUGCAAAUCACGCAGAGUCAUCCAUCGCGUCUCAACCACAAUCCUCAACCCUGGUCGAGUCUUCUAUAAAUGCCCAAAUCAUGGGGUAAUAAUAUGUUUAAGUGUUGUUCUGCUGCUUCCAGUUGCUGAUUUUUUUAAUAGUUUGGUUGAUGAUCUUCCAAUUUGAUUUGUGCAAAAAAGGGAAGGUUCGUGUGAAUUGUAUUUCUGGGAAGUUGCUGAUGUGGGGGAAUGCAACUAUGCUGAUUAUUUGGUUAGACGAGGAAUCCCAAUACCAGCAGGUUGGGGUGUUGGACAAGUAACUGAAGGAACGACAAAAGAGGAAGAUGCAGAGUAGAAGGUUAAAGAUGUAGUUCCUCUGAUCAUGGCCAAGCAACAACUGCUGAACGGCCUUGACAGCAAUGAGGAGAUGAAAGAGCUUGUGAAGAUAAUGGAAAAAAUCGAUGUGCUCUGUAGGAUGAUUAUCUCUUUAUUUGCAGUGUAUGUAGCACUUGUGAUGUAUUCAGGGGCUAUGACAUGAGCACUUUGCUGAAACUAGUAAUGAAUGAAACCUGUUUAGCAGGCUGCGCGUAGUGUUGUGAACAUCUAAUGAUUUCUAUUAACGGAAAUCGGGGGGUAUCCCCUUUUGCUCAUAAAUAAAUAAAUAGCAGAGACCCUUUUGCUAAUAAAUAAAUAAAUAAAUUAGCAGAGGCCCUGUCGGGUUAGCUUUGUUCCCAUUCGAAGACGUCGAGCAAAUUGCAGUCCAACAGCAAACUAUGUCAUCAAAUUCAAGUUUCAUAGCCAAAUAUGAGUACAACUAAACAACAAUGUCAUCAUGUUUUAGUCUUCAUACAAUCACCAAACACAAAUCAACAUACAUAACAAGUGAUGUUCUCACAGCAAAAUACUAAACAACACGUUCAUCAGGUUUCAGUUGUCAUAGCAACACAAUUUCACAUAGUAGAUAAAAAACGUCUUCUGAUAGGCAAAUACGACAAAAGCGAUCUAAUCAUCAUCUGCAGCAGUAGCGUCAACAUCUUCGCCAUGUGUAUCAGUCUGAAUCGUAAUUCCCCACAGUGUCAUCAUCUUCUUUAUCCUCAAUGUCCUCGAACGCUGGCUUCUUCUUAUCAACUCUUGUAUGUCCACAGCACGACAUCAAUCUUUUCGCCAGCGUCAUUGGCGUGAUGGUUCUCAAAGAUAUUAGGAACAUCUGUGGAAUCUUGUACAUCAGGAGCAGUGUAAGCAUCAUCUUGUUGUGCAACUUCAUUAAACGAAUUCCUCUGCUCAAACCUUUGCAAUACUUUCCAGUCAUCGCUACGUGCAAAUGUGUCUUCCAAGAAAAAUAUCCGUGUUGCUUGAUUUGCCAAAAUAAAAGGCUCGUUGGUCUGGUACGCCGCCUUGACAAUGAUGGAUUUGAAAUAAUCAUCAGCUCUGGGUUUUGCGAUCCUGGAAAACAGGUUAUACCAACAACAGCACAACAGAACCACACACCGAUGAACCUCGAAACUGGAGAUAUACUGCAACUGAACAAUGUCUGUUAUGUUAGCAUACAUUUCAGUUGUCUCUCUACCGUACGUAUCCGUGCUCAUGACGACACUGUUUUAUGUCUUCCUACCUUCGUCGCAUGCAAGGGUGUUGUAGCGCACAUCUCCAACAACGCAAGAUUCAUAAUGUCUUACCCGAGUAUCAGGACCCAUUGUUAGUGCAUAAAGGGCAUCUCAACUGCCUGCCCAUCCUCCUGCAUCUUCUUAACCUAUGGUUAUAAAAUAGACAAGCUGAUCAUCUUAUGUACUCAAUAUAUUAAAAAACUGACAGUGCAAUUCAAAAGCUUACAUGGCUCUUGAACCAUUUCGCAAAUCCUGCCAUAACCAGUUUGUCAAUGUUUCUUGGAUUUUGCGGCAGUAACUCCUUUUUGUAGAUGCUGCACAACAUAGUGAUCGCGUCAAACAUCUAAAUAUAUAAGAAUGUGCUGCAAGUUUAGUAGAUUACGAUGUAUAAGCUGCAGUACUUAGCACUUACUUGAUAUAAGCUAGUAUCUCAGGACAGUUAUUCAACACAAACCAAACCAUUUUGUCCAAAUCUUUAGGUUUGUCCUCUUAUCGACUCUUCCCUGUAACUCGAACAGAAUAAUUGAAAACAUUGAGCCCGGGAUUGUCUUCACCCACCUUUUUUCUAAGAUGAUCAGCUGUUUCAAUGUAUUUUGAGCAGAAUGUCAACGCUUUUGUAGCAAUGUAGGCCUCUGCAAUGGAACCCUCGGGUCUAGCUAUGUUCCUAGCAUAGCCCUUGAAAGUGCCUAGCCGCCUUUCAAUAGGGUACAUCCAUCCAUACUGUACUGGACCUCUAAGUAGUGCCUCAUCACGUAGAUGAAUAGCCAAAUGCACCAUCACAUCAAAGAAAGCUGGAGGAUAUAUCUUCUCAAGGUCGCAUAGGAUAGUUGGUAUCUUGUCUCUAAGACGCUCCAACGCAUCUAUCCUGAUAUUUCUACUACAGAGUUCCCUGAAGAAUUGUUCCAACUCUACAACUGCUCUUAUAAGUCAGGGCGGCCCAAUCCUCUAAGGAUAACAGGUAAAACCCUUUGAAGUAGGAUGUGUCAGUCAUGAGUUUUCAACCAUUGUACCUUGUUUCCAUCUGCACUGACUCUCCUUUCAAGGUUGGAAGCAAAUCCAUGUGGGAAUCUCACACGUGACAGGACCUCACAGAAUUCUUUUCUUUUUACCUUGUCCAAGACGUACACAGCUGGUGCCAUAUCCCGUGGUUUACCUUCAUCUUGCACCUGCAAAUCCUGUCUGAUACCCACGUGUGUCAAAUCAAUCCUAGAUUUUAAGGUAUCUUUCGUCUUGCCUUCAAUAUUAAGAAGUGUGCCGAUAAUGCUGUCACAUAUAUUUUUCUCGAUGUGCAUCACAUCAAGAUUAUGCUGCAGAUCCAAAUCUUUCCAAUAAUCCAAGUCCCACAAAGUGGACCUGCGGGUAAACAAUAAUCUCUCUUCUGCCCUGCCAUGCUUCCUUUUCCUGCUACCAUUACCAGGAUAUUUUUCUGGUGUAAUAUGCCCAACCUUCUCUAAUUCCACUUGCAACUCAUCAGCGGUGAGCCUCUUUGGCGCAUCACGGUUUUCAUGCUUUGCAUUGAACACCUGUCUUCGGUAUUUUGUAGGACGCGACUUGUCCUUGGCAAGGAAACGACGGUGUCCAAUGUAACAUAUCUUGCUAAGUAUUGCGUAUGACAGCGGAUUCCUGUCACAGCGAACACAUGCAUUGUAACCAUGUGCCGUUCGCCCUGACAUAGUGCCCAAAGCCGGAUAAUCAUGGAUGCACCAAAUUAUAACAGCACGCAGAAAGAAAUCAGCUGGUGGGCUGCUAUAUAGGUCUCGUGUGAGAACACCCCUCCAUAGCUGUUGAAGUUCCUCCACAAGAGGCUCCAUGAAUAAAUCAAAAUCCUUUCCAGGACUUUUUGGACCUGGGAUGAGCAAGGCCAUCAUGUAGUUUGAUUCUUUGGUGCGGACAUUUGGAGGCAUGUUGUAAGGGAUAACAAGCACUGGCUACAUGCUAUAUGUGGUGCUCUGGUGGCCAAAUGGGUUAAAUCCAUCUGAAGCUAAGCCAAGUCUAAUGUUUCUCGGGUCAGCAGCAAACUUUUUCUGUUUCUGAUUGAAGCUUUUCCAGUCACUACCAUGAGAUGGAUGGCUCAUUACAUUCUGAUCUCUGUACUCCUCGUUCCUAGAAUGCCACAGUACAUCCUCUCUUGUUUUAGCAUCAUGAACAACCUCUGCAAUCUUGGUAUAAUUGGAAAAUGUCUCAGAACAUUAUGAGGAAUCCUCUUCACAGCAUCGCCAUCUUUUCAUCUUGAUGAUUUGCAUUUCGGGCAUUCACUUAAGUUGGCAUAAUCCUUCCGGAAUAGAACACGGUUAUUCUUAAAAACAUGGUUCAUAUCAUAUCCAAUUCCAACUGCACGAAGGAAAUUCUUCAUUUUACUGUAGGUGUGUGGCAGCUCAGACGCAUCUGGGAAAGAUUUGCGAAAAGCAUCCAACAUCGCAUCGAAUGAUUUGUUUGUCAUCCGCUCAGAUGUCUUCACCUGAAGAAAGGUGACCAUAGCUGAGAAUACUGAUAGCUUAUUUCCUGGGGUGACAGCCAUGUUGCAUUGUUCCAACAUGCGGGCCCACCAUUUUUCUUCUGCAGGUGAAAGUUCACGAAAUGCACGAGCAUUUCAUAGCAUUGUUUCAAUGUUGGUCAAACUCACUGGCUCCGCCACUACCACCUCCUCCUCCUCUUCCACCUGAGCAUCAGGCAGAUCAAGAUGGUGAUCUGCUGCUUCCACAUAGUCAGUAACAUUGACGUUCACAGCUUCACCAUGAUGAACCCACCUAGUAUAUGUGACCGACAUCCCAUACAAGUGUAGAUGAUUUUGCACAGUUGACUGGGGUCUUGUAACUGAAUUCAUACAACUGCUACAUGGGCAGAUCACAUCUGAUUUAGGACCACCGUACUCAGCUCUGAUAAAGUUCAUGAAGUUUUCAACCCCCUCGACAUAUGCAGCGAAGAAUCUUCGAGCAGAAGUUAUCCAAGUCAUGUCCAUCUAUUAGACAUACAAAUUAGUUCUUCUACUAGAUAUUACAGGAAAACACAUAUGCUUUUUUAUGAAGUCCAGAAAAAAUAUCUAGGUCAAUGUCUAAAGCUAUGGCAAGAUAUUUGGACAAGCAUAUCUAAGUAACGAAAUAUAUGUAAAGCUAAUUCAACAAACAGAUUUGAGUGCUAAAUUAUGGCAGGCUGUUUCAGCAGUCAAUGAGGCCGAGCACACAGCCAUCGAACUAUCGAAGGCCAUCUGAGCAACAAAGAUCGAGUAUAAAACGGUGUAGAGCUAUUUCACCUAACAGAUUGGCUGCUAGACCAUGGCAAUCUACGUCACAAUAAAUAUACGGCAUGAUAUUUUAGCAACUAAUCGGGCUUGGCAUGCCAUCUCAGCUAAGCAGAUUGAGUGCAGAAUAGGGCAAGGAAGCUUCUUAAGCAGAGCAUAUUGACUGUAAACUACUUCGGCAAACAAUGAGAUUAACAGCGUCUAUCAGCUAACAUUCAGCGCUACACCGACAUGCACGGGGCCUCAGUCUAGAAUGCGCGUACCGCGGGAGAAGCUGACCGUCGUGCGUCUCCACACGAACGUCGCCAGCGGUGGCGGCGUUGACCGCCGUGUGUCUCCAUAAGAACGUCGCCAGCGGUGGCGGCGCGGCUAGAGGACGGCAGUCUACGAGAGCGUACUAUGGGAGCGAGAGGAUCGCCGUGCGUCCCCUCGACGUAUCGCGGCGCCGAUGUAUCAGCGCGGCGGGGAGGCGGCUUUGGCGGAGUGAAUGGAGUGGAGGGGGACGGGGGGAGGGGGUUUGGGGAAUAUUAUUGGCUAGUUGGCCGAAGGGCUGUUGAAUUUGGGAUUUGGGGGGAUUUUCACGCGGUGGGCGGGGGGAGUUUGGCGCAUGGUCGGUUUCUCCAAGUGAAGUCCCACAUGUCAGUGAAGAGGCAAGCCGAAGUGCGUUCUGUUUGCGUGAUCCGUGUGCAGGACCGAACGUGUGUGGGGUGCAAUGUAGACCGCGACAGGGGUGCUGUGAGUGUACCGCCGUUUUUCCUUUUAAACUUGGUGCUUCGCCCCCUAAAAAAACUUGGUGCUUCGCGUGAUCCAUUGAUACUACUACUAGUAAUUCGGUAAUCCUGACUAAAACGGUGCGGCCGGGUCUUUUCCCGUGCGAUAUGCUGGGUGGUUGGCUUAGUUGGGUUUUUUAGGACGAGUAAUGCUACACCUACGUAAUCCCAGUUACGUAAUUAACGUAAUGUGAAACGUGUGAGCUGUUGAUUGUAGAUUCGGGGAGGGAGGGGCCCACCACCAUGAAAACCAGGGAGGAGAAAGAGAGGCAAUUUACGUUAACCCUUUCGUAGGUUCCCGUAGAUGUAGAAAGAUGUGAAAUGCAUGAAUGUCUAGUGGACGUACUAUUGGAGUGCAUAAGAUAAAUUGUGUAUGUAGACCCUAUGUGUUUAUUUACUUCGCAUGUUAGCUUUGUCUCGGGCCAAACCUUCUAAGUUUAUACACACAAAAACAAACCAUCAUUCCAUAUACUCCUACAAUAUAUCUUACUAUUAUUGUGAAAGUUCAUAUACACCGGACGAGAUUAAUAUAAACACGACAGAUUUUCAUUACAUUUCAAACUUUUAUAUGACAGAAAAAUAAAAGAAACCCGACCCUAAACCUAUUCUAUGGCGGCGACCGAUGUCCUCCAUCUGCAAUCUCCAUGUACGGGGGCGGGGUUCAAGAUCCGUGAAGUGAAGGUGCGGUCUCCGGCGAGGAAUAGUAGAACAUGGGAGACAGACCGGCCAGUUGGCACAACAUGCCCUGCCGCCUUCCAUGCCCUACUCAUCCUCGGAGGAGUCCCCAACCUCUGCAGUGCCGGACGUUGGAUGGCGGCAAGUAGGACGCGUGGCUGACGGUGCUCCCGCCGUCGGCUGCCAGCGUGGCCACCGCUUGUGCGGUCGCGUCCGCGUCCGGCUAUGCCACUAUUGCGUCGUGAGCGGCAACUUGAGCGAGGGCGGCGACCUCGAGCUUCAUCCCCGAAGACAAGCUCUCCCGCAGAGCGUUCACGCUCGCGGUCAUGGCGGAUGUGGUGCCAGGUAGCAGGACGAUGCGCUAUGGUGUGCAGUUUAGCUGCAUUGCCGCUUUAAGUAGCGCAUUCCGGUGAGGCCAAGCGUCUGGGUGCGUCAUUAAGUCGCCGGAAUUGGUUCCUCGGGCACUGAGCCUCUUAAUGACGGCAUACAGACGGACGACAUGAAUGCGGGCAGCUGGCACCGGCUGGGAAAGCACCGCGCGAUGGCACGAGGGACGAGGGUUUUUGGUGUGCCAGGGUAGUCAGCUGCGGUCGUGGCAACGUUGGAGAUGCCCUUUGCUCACAUGCGAUCCCCACAUGUCAUUGAAAAAGCAAGACGACCCGGCAUGGUCUCAGGUCUUGGGGAUGCAGUUGGCCGCGCUACACCACUCCGCGGACACGUCGUGGCGUGCGCGCACUUCGGCGCCCCAUGUAUCCUCGACGAGCUGGGUGUUGAUCUGCUGGUCGUGCCAUAGAGCUAACGCCACCCUCGGCACACUGAAGCCGACCGUGUCCAGCAAUGAUGAGCAUGUCUCUCACUGCGGUCGCCGUGUACAGAGGCGGUGCGGGAGCUGCGCCACGUUGCUGGCCCCCAUGACCCACAUGAACGGUUGCCAGUGGCGAGGAGGUCGUCGGCCAGCUCCUCCAUUGGACUAGUCUGCGCCACGUCGUCCCGACAGGUGUGCCCCACAUGUCGGUUUCCCUGUUUUCCUAGCCAAAUUCGAGCGUCAGUGCUCCGUGUUGCGCAUUAGGCGCAGAGCAGGUGGUUUUUGUGCCCAAUGUGGUACAGUACCUAGUUGUUACCCUAGCCCCAAGUGUGGUGGUUUUGGGUACGGUGCCACCCUUUUCCUUUUCAACUAGUGAAGCGUAACACUUGAUUAAGUAGCCGAAUGGUGUGCUAAAUGUAGGUGUCCGACUGUUUGAAGGAAUAAUUGAGGUGUGCCUGGUCCGUGCCCGCAUUUAGGGGUCCAACUUACCAUGUUCCGGCAGUAGCAACUAUACUAGUCCCUGCAUACUCCCUCUGUUUUUAUUUACUUCGCAUUUUAGCUUUGCUCAAAGUCAAACUUCGUAAACAUUGACAAAGUUUAUAGACAGAAAUAAUAACAUAUACAAUAACAAAUCAAUACCAUUAGAUUCAUUAUUGAAUAUACUUUCACAUCAUAUAGAUUUGCUAUUGUAAAUGUUCAUAUUUUUCCUAUAAAUUUGGUCAAAUUUUAUGAAGUUUGACUUUAGUCAAACCUAAUAUGCGGAGUAAAUAAAAACGAAGGGAGUAUCUUACUCCGUGACCAAGACGGAAGGGAAAACGAGACAACUUAUUGUUUAUUUGAGCCGUUCAAGUAUAAUCAUGUGGCGUUGCUUAUUUCUCAUUCCUCUCCAACCCUCUUCUCCAUCGAUCAUGCUGGCCUCCGGUCGAGUCCAUCCUCUCGCAUGCCUCAUUUGAACAUUCCGCCGAGUAUCAUUCGCAUGUGGGCCUAGACCAUGCUUGUAUUUCCAAUGUUGUAAUUUGUCCGACAUGCAUAAAAACAAACGGUUCGUUUAAAGUUUCACUUUGCCUCCACUACGUGUCGCUUCCUGUCUUAGUUUUGACAUCCCAUUCGGUUCAUGCCUCGACACAUCUUGAUGAGAUCGAUUGAUGUUGAGAGAUCAAUUGCGUGUCAUGCAAGGAGAUAAAGGUUUGGUUUGUUUCUAUGAUAGAAAUGACNNNNNNNNNNNNNNNNNNNNNNNNNNNNNNNNNNNNNNNNNNNNNNNNNNNNNNNNNNNNNNNNNNNNNNNNNNNNNNNNNNNNNNNNNNNNNNNNNNNNNNNNNNNNNNNNNNNNNNNNNNNNNNNNNNNNAUUGUACGUUCAUAAGCGAAACGAACGUAUUGUACCCACCCUAGUCCUCUUUCAAUCGAUCUCCGGACCCCGAGAUGAAAUCAAGAGAGAACGAGUGGGUGCAUGUGUGAUACCUAAGGCGGAUUCAAAAUUUUGAACCGGUGAUCAUAGCAUCCGCAAAUCAUAUAUAAAGGGUAUUCAAUGUUCGUUUCGCUUUUGAACGUACAAUAUACUCCCUCCGAUCCUUUCUAGUUUACAUAUAAGUUUUAUGUGUAGUCAAAGUAUCUCUACUUGGAUCAAACUUACAGAAAAAAGUAUCAACAUUCAACAACGCCCAAUCAGUAUUGUUAGAUUCGUACGUACUCCUAAAUUUGCAUUCAAACAGAGAUGGUUUCCAUUUUUUUUCAACCACGUGAAUGUGCUUGUUCUCGCGCAUGCUCUUCCUACUAGGAUUUUGCCAUGUAUAGCCAGUCCAAAAGUAACUCUUUUAAGCUCCCUGUCCAAUAGUACUAGUGGAGUACUGACAACAUCUGUAGUAGAGUAUACAGUGCUCAUAGUACUCCCUCCUUCCAUUUAUAUAGGGCCUAAGAGCAAGUCUAAUAAGACCUGUCAGCAGGCUAUAAGACUUGCCAUGUCAUUAAAAUCCUACUUGGAGGAGUGAGAAGAGAGGAGAGUGAGUGAAGCGGGCUCUUAUUCUACAGCCCGACUAUAACACAUAGAUCAAGAAAAAAUAGUAUGCAUGCAACUCUCUUCCAAUCAUAUACCUUGCUCAUGCAAAUAUUAAAUGCUUAGAGCCAACCUAAUAGCCAUUCUAAGAUCCAACCUAUUACUUAACCAUGCAAACAUUAAAUGCUUAUAUGAGUAUUUUUUAUGAUGGCUCUAAGUGAGGUGGCAUCUCUUUAUAGCCAACAGCCGGCUACAUUAUUAGCCAUGCUCUAAUGCAUUUUUUAAAAUCGCCUUUGACUAUUGAGAAGAUUAAUAGUACAUGAGAUGUAUAAUGUGCAAAUUAUAUCAUUGGAAGCUCCUUUCACAUAUGAAUUUGACCGUAUGCUUUGUGUAAGUUGCAUGUCAUAUAUUAUUACUCUAACAUUUGGUCAAAGUUAGCCUUGAAAAAUGCAUUAGGCCCUGUAUAGAUGGAAGGAGGGAGUAGUAGUGGAAGUGGAUCCUCUGACGUAGGUAUCCCUGCCUUACCCUCCCUUUCGGCCACUUACUGGCGGGCCCCAUGCUUGCUAGGCCCCGCAUGUCAGUUACUCAAUGGGUUCGGCCACGUCAGGGGAUCCUCAUCCGUAGUAUACACCCUCUGUUUUUAUUUACUCCGCAUAAAACGGAGGGAGUAGUAGUAUAAAUGACGCGGGUGGGGGAGGGGGAGGAACGUCGGUUUGCUCUCAACUGCGGUCCCACAAGCGAGGAAAAACGCAAGACAAAGCGCAUUCCAUUCGGUGAGCGACGUGGAGGGUCCAGCGUGCCGGGGUGCAACACGAACGCGACAAGAGCGAUGUACAGUCAAAACCGAUUGACCGGUCAUCACCGGAACCACUAUUCACACCAGAACCUUCGCUGCUCGGCCUACGCCAGCCACUGCCCCAAAACCACACCUCCUCUCCAGCCCAUUCCCCCACCUUUCGAUCCCCUAGACCGCAUCAAGCGUCCCCUAGUUCGCUGGAAAGCCAUGGUGCGCCGCAAGAUCACGUACUACAAGAUGCUGAUGC